Long non-coding RNA from Dicentrarchus labrax (European seabass), 1075 nucleotides. RefSeq lists it as uncharacterized. The transcript has 10 exons. The record is from RefSeq and is a predicted model, not a curated record. NCBI's taxonomy places the organism in Eukaryota, Metazoa, Chordata, Actinopteri, Moronidae.
GUGUGUCUGUCUGUAGGUGUGUCUGUCUGUAGGUAGAUGUGUGUGUCUGUCUGUAGGUGUGUCUGUCUGUAGGUAGAUGUGUGUGUCUGUCUGUAGGUGUGUCUGUCUGUAGGUAGAUGUGUGUGUCUGUCUGUAGGUGUGUCUGUCUGUAGGUAGAUGUGUCUGUCUGUAGGUAGAUGUGUGUGUCUGUCUGUAGGUGUGUCUGUCUGUAGGUAGAUGUGUGUGUCUGUCUGUAGGUGUGUCUGUCUGUAGGUAGAUGUGUGUGUCUGUCUGUAGGUAGAUGUGUGUGUCUGUCUGUAGGUAGAUGUGUGUGUCUGUCUGUAGGUGUGUCUGUCUGUCUGUAGGUGUGUCUGUCAGAAGAUGUGUCUGUCUGUAGAGGUGUCUGUCUGUAGGUGUGUGUGUCUGUCUGUAGGUGUGUGUGUCUGUAGGUAGAUGUGUGUGUCUGUCUGUAGGUGUGUCUGUCUGUAGGUAGAUGUGUGUGUCUGUCUGUAGGUGUGUGUGUCUGUAGGUGUGUCUGUCUGUAGGUAGAUGUGUGUGUCUGUCGGUAGGUGUGUCUGUCUGUAGGUAGAUGUGUGUGUCUGUCUGUAGGUGUGUCUGUCUGUAGGUAGAUGUGUGUGUCUGUCUGUAGGUAGAUGUGUGUGUCUGUCUGUAGGUGUGUCUGUCUGUAGGUAGAUGUGUCUGUCUGUAGGUAGAUGUGUGUGUCUGUCUGUAGGUGUGUCUGUCUGUAGGUAGAUGUGUGUGUCUGUCUGUAGGUGUGUCUGUCUGUAGGUAGAUGUGUGUGUCUGUCUGUAGGUGUGUCUGUCUGUAGGUGUGUCUGUCUGUCUGUAGAUGUGUCUGUCUGUAGGUGUGUCUGUCUGUCUGUAGGUGUGUCUGUCAGAAGAUGUGUCUGUCUGUAGAGGUGUCUGUCUGUAGGUGUGUGUGUCUGUCUGUAGGUGUGUGUGUCUGUAGGUAGAUGUGUGUGUCUGUCUGUAGAUGUGUCUGUCUGUAGGUAGAUGUGUGUGUCUGUCUGUAGGUAGAUGUGUGUGUCUGUCUGUAGGUAGAUGUGUGUGUCUGUCUGUAGGUAGAUGUGUGUGUC